UACAGAGGUCUCAAGCGUUGUUCGGAUUCAUUGGGCGUAAAGGGUGCGUAGGUGGCGCCGUAAGUCAGGUGUGAAAUUUCGGAGCUUAACUCCGAAACUGCAUUUGAUACUGCGGUGCUUGAGGACUGGAGAGGAGACUGGAAUUCACGGUGUAGCAGUGAAAUGCGUAGAUAUCGUGAGGAGGACCAGUGGCGAAGGCGGGUCUCUGGACAGUUCCUGACACUGAGGCACGAAGGCCAGGGGAGCAAACGGG
This 253-nucleotide ribosomal RNA is filed under the name uncultured bacterium. RNAcentral's name for it is "partial 16S ribosomal RNA". It matches the Rfam family "Bacterial small subunit ribosomal RNA", at positions 524 to 776 of the family's 1533-position model. The record is from RNAcentral.